Molecule: unclassified non-coding RNA, 403 nt
Filed under: soil metagenome
Description: partial contains 5.8S ribosomal RNA, internal transcribed spacer 2, and large subunit ribosomal RNA
Rfam family: 5.8S ribosomal RNA (bases 1-119)
Source: RNAcentral
UGAAGAACGCAGCGAAAUGCGAUAAGUAAUGUGAAUUGCAGAAUUCAGUGAAUCAUCGAAUCUUUGAACGCACCUUGCGCCCUUUGGCCAUUCCGAAGGGCAUGCCUGUUUGAGUAUCAUGAACACCUCAACUCUUUAUGGUUUUCCAUGAUGAGCUUGGACUCUGGGGGUUUUGCUGGCUCACAGUCGGCUCCUCUAAAAUGAAUCAGCUUACCAGUGUUUGGUGGGUAUCAUGGGUGUGAUAACUAUCUACGCUUGUGGUUUUUCCACCAGGUAACCUUCAGCAGUGGAGGUUCGCUGGAGCUCAUAGAUGUCUCUCCUCAGUGAGGACAGCCCUUUGAAUGUUUGAUCUCAAAUCAGGUAGGACUACCCGCUGAACUUAAGCAUAUCAAUAAGCGGAGGA